GAACGCAGCGAAUUGCGAUAAGUAAUGUGAAUUGCAGAAUUACGUGAAUCAUCGAAUCUUUGAACGCAUAUUGCACUCUCUGGUAAUCCGGGGGGCAUGCCUGUUUGAGGGUCAGUA
RNAcentral lists this ribosomal RNA (117 nucleotides) under Entrophospora claroidea. RNAcentral describes it as "partial 5.8S ribosomal RNA". It matches the Rfam family "5.8S ribosomal RNA", at positions 41 to 154 of the family's 154-position model. From Rfam's summary of the family: 5.8S ribosomal RNA (5.8S rRNA) is a component of the large subunit of the eukaryotic ribosome. It is transcribed by RNA polymerase I as part of the 45S precursor that also contains 18S and 28S rRNA. The record is from RNAcentral. Lineage: Eukaryota; Fungi; Glomeromycota; Glomeromycetes; Entrophosporales; Entrophosporaceae.